This is a long non-coding RNA of Dreissena polymorpha, 4024 nucleotides long. RefSeq lists it as uncharacterized. NCBI's taxonomy places the organism in Eukaryota, Metazoa, Mollusca, Bivalvia, Myida, Dreissenidae. The record is from RefSeq and is a predicted model, not a curated record. The transcript is spliced from 2 exons.
AGAAAUGUCGUAUUGCAGUUGAAUUUAAACCGCCUUUGAGGGCGUGUUGACGCAGUUCGCGAAUCAUAACAAACGCAGCGAAGGUGUCCAAUGUAACUUGUAUAUUUAUCGGUUUAGGAAAUCGCAUGGAGACAGUCGGUAAAAUUAGCGAACGCAAAGAUGAUGUUAUUCGUACGAUACCAGAAAUGUGGCACAUAUUUCAAGCUUAUAAUCUUUGUGUGGUGAUGUGGCGGUGAUGGAUCUCGUUGAGAAGCUGGACGACGCAAAGAACGUCCAAAGCUCCAUGACCUAUAAAGACAACGGCAAAUGUAACCGCACGAUCUGCUAUAACUGCCCAUGAACCAUAAGGGAAACGUCUAUACGACUGUAAACGCCGCCGUGACCACACUGACUAUUACAGACACAAAGUUGUUCAAUGGUAACUCCUCUCCGCUUACUGUAGGGCACAUUUCUCCCCACCGGAAGACUGCAUCAAAGCGGAAAGAUGUAAUCGGUGUGACACUGCACACCUCACUACAACUACAAAAGUGUGAUGCGUGUGCAAUGGUUGCAUCACGGCCGCAUCUAGUACGACUGCAACUGCAACAUCCGGAUAAAGCCAGUUGGUUGGUAUUACGCUACACACUCCAUACUAAAUCCACACAGACCCCGUCUGACCCAGCUGCGCUUUCUAUAUGUUGUAUAACUACAAUCUAUAUGUUGUUGUUGUUUUUUUCAGAAAAAAAAUCAUAAGAACGUAUCAGUUCUUACCUUGAUAGGUAAACACUUUUGUAUUUCUUUUAAAAUCAAAACAUAUUGUCAAAUUAAUUUUCCUCUUUCUUUUUAAUUAUUAUCCAAUAUUGUACCACAAUUAAGUUUGUACAUACAAUAAAUAUUUAAAUCCAUUAUCAAGAGAUGAAGGGGAGAACUCUGUCCUUGAGCGAUUAAAGACAAUUCUGGCAAUAUGUUAAUAGAAAUAUUAUCAAUUUUUAUUAGAUGAAGCUUAUAUUUUUCUUUGUCCAAAAAUGAUUCGUGAGUGCAUCCUCGUAUUAUCAUUUCGAUUAAAUAUGUUAUUCUGUUGUUGUUUUUUUUUCACAUUAAAAUUUAUACAAAUAUAUAAUUUUAGUAAAUAUUUUUUUUUAACGAGAAUUAUAUACAAAUGCAUACAUACAUACCGUAUUCAUGAAAUACAAUAAUAGUGUAUUUUAUUAUAAAAUGAAAAUAAAGUUAUCGAUUUGUAUCAACCUCCAUAUAAAUCUGGUACGUCCUUCCUAUGGCAGCCCUAGUGGCUCUCAAACGCGUCCUCGUGAAUCAGAAACAUAACGCAUAGUUGCUGCAAUCAAAAACCUAUGAUAUUUGAAAAUGAGAAAUCUGUCAAUUAUUCACUACCUCUAAUGCUUAAAGUAGCGCUUAGGUCAUAACCUGCCAUAUAAACCUGGUACGUCCGUCCCCUGGCAGCCUAAGUGACUUUCAAACUUGGCCUUAUAAUCCUGGAAUAGUACACAAAUAAAUAUCAGUUCAUUUGCUUUAUGAUUAUAUAAAGAAGUUUUAUUUGUGAUAGAUUUUGUCUGCACAGUAAAUCAGUAGGAACAGUAUAUAUAUUAAAAUUGCAUUGAAUGAAUUCAACAUAUAGUACUGAUAUGUGCAUGCGCGCUAUUAAAAUGACCUUUUUGGGUUUUUAUAAAUUGCCAAAAUUGAAAAAAAUAUUGUUUCAGAUAUGCAAAUUUUCGUUGUGGUUAUGUCUUUUGCUUGGAAACUGUAACACUGAAAAAAUAUCAAGGUCUUAAAUAUCCAUUAUAUGCAUCGCUGAUGAUUUUACAACAUGAACAAUAUAUUGCGUUAGAAACACUAAAUGAUUGAAUAAUUUGGAAAGGUCUGUUUUUAUCGUUAUAUUCUGUGACAUUACAAGGAUUGAUUAUUAUUAUUAUAUAACAAAUAAAAUUAAAUUAGUAAAAAAAAGAAAGAAUAUAAUAUGCUAGAACAAGAUUUCCUGUAUGUCAUGUUUAGCGUCAAUUGCAAUGCUUAAACGGUCUUUCCUAUAAGUCUACUUAGCUAUUGCCCAAUUCUCAUUUUCUGCAUUGGUUUAAAUAAAUUUGUACAUUAUAUGAAUACAUAUUUUAAAUUAAUUUUAAUUCACAAAUAAAUAUAUAAUUGUAUAAAUAACUUGUUCUAAACAUGACAAAAGAUAUACAAAUAUGAAAAACACAUACAAAAUGUAUUAAGCCAUUAAAUAAUAAAUAACAGUUACAUAAAUACACUAUGAUACAUUUUCUUCGCUGCUAUAUAAACCUGUUACGUCCGUCCCCUGGCAGCCCACGUGACUUUCGAACGUGGCCACGUGAUUCUUGUAGAUAACACAUAUCAAUAAUUAGGUCGAAUGAUGUGUUUUUUCUGACCAUGUGAUUAUUUAACAUGACAAAUCAUGUUUACAAUACCGCUAAGGUCAUAAACUGCCACAUGAAUCUGGUACGUCCGUCCCCUGGCAGCCCAAGUGGCUUUCAAACGUGGCAAAGUUACUCUAGAAUGUACUUACCUGACAGCAUGUAGUGUUGUCAUGCCAUUCGUUGUGCUGUCUGCACAUUUCUUUUGGCGUACACUCUGUCUGUCUUUAGUCUUUUUUCGAUGUACGGUUCUCUGGAAAAACCGUAUGGUCUUUUUUUAGUAUGUGCUGUUUUUCUGAGAUUCAGCAUGAUUUUUUUCCUUUAAUACAUAUGGUUCUCAUUGAGAGCCGUUUGAUGAUGUUUUAAUGUGCGAAACUAUUUAUAUAUUUUCUAAUAUAUGUGUGUUUAUCCAGAAAAAAAUCACGUAUUGCCUUAAUGUAAAACUUUUCGAAGAAACGGUUGGGUCUUUGAUUUAAAAUGUUUGGCUCUCCCUUUAAAACCGUAUGACCUUCGAUUGUAUGCAAAAUUGUAUAAAACAUUAUACGGUGUUUUUUUUCAGUAUGUACAGCUCCUCUAAGAAAACAUAUUAGUUAAACAUCGGACAAACAUGAUAAUUCUGACGUUAAGACAAAUGCUAUGGUACUUCUAUUUAAUAAAUACGGUUGCACUUACAAACGUAUUUUUUAUAUUUUUAUAAUAAACCUCACUCUCAACUAAAAGUCAGAUACGUUUGAGUUGCCUCUUGCUUAAUUUAACAUUGCUUGUUUUUUUUAAUGUUAUCGACCGUGAAAUUAAAGGAAUCAAAUUUGUAUUAAUAAGUGUUACAUCAUGUUUAAUACUCUGAUCUGUUUAAGAUAUUUGUUUGCAUGGUUUUUCAUGCAUAACAUUGCUCAAACAUGUCUUUAUUUAUGUUAAGCUUUCGAAACGUUUAUCGGAUCUUUUUCUAUUAAGUAACUAUAUCUCACACUUUCAAACUAGCCUCACCUUAAUAUGAACAUAAUUUUAAGAAAAUUAAGGUUUUGGCAUAAUUAUGGCCUUUUGUCGGGAGUUGUCGCACAAAGCACAUACAGUAACAGCCUUUUAGUUUGUUCGACGUAUUUUUUGUAUGGUGAAUAAACUCUCAACUUGUCAUCAAUCAAAGCUUUGAAUUCAACCAGUUUCGGCCUAAUAACAAUCCGUUGUAUAUUCGUGUAUAAUAUAUAAUAUUUCCUCUGUAUAUUUGUUAACAAUGUAUUAUGUAUUAUACAUUUGUAACACUUUUUGAGUUAUAUCUCUGUUUUAAUUAUGUAUACGAUAUUAAGUGCGUUUGUAAUUCUUAAUGAUUUUUUUUAUAAAUAUAUUGUAAUUCGCAUUGAAGACUUACAGUUGAGACUAAACUUGAAUUUUAUUUGCUCGAAAAUAUAAUGAAUUUUAUGCAAAGUACAUGCCAAUCUGUUCAUGAAAAAGAAAUCUCCUACCUGGUAACGUACUGUCGAUGUUGACUUUGUUUCAGAACUGUACUUAUUGUACUUAAGGUUGAGUUCAGUAAAAUAACACAUUUGAUUGUACUGUAUUUCACUGUAUUGUAUUGUCUAUGUUUAAUAUUUUUUGUUUAUAUUAAAAUAAACUUUUAUACUUACUUGUGAUAUGUUAAAUUGUUGUUUUGACUAAAUUUCGAAAAUCAA